RNAcentral lists this small RNA (86 nucleotides) under Vibrio cholerae O1 biovar El Tor str. N16961. The record is from RNAcentral. Lineage: Bacteria; Pseudomonadati; Pseudomonadota; Gammaproteobacteria; Vibrionales; Vibrionaceae.
CCUAAAAUACCUGCUUGGUGAACAAUAUAUAGUAUAAGCAGCUAACAAAAACACUCGCCUAACAUGCACUUGGGCCGAGAUAGAGC